Molecule: ribosomal RNA, 301 nt
Filed under: uncultured bacterium
Lineage: Bacteria
Description: partial 16S ribosomal RNA
Rfam family: Bacterial small subunit ribosomal RNA
Source: RNAcentral
CAGUAGCCACGGGAAUACGAGGGGGGCAAGCGUUGUUCGGAAUUAUUGGGCGUAAAGGGUGCGUAGGCGGUUUGAUAAGUCUUGUGUGAAAUCUCUGGGCUCAACCCAGAGUCUGCACAGGAAACUGUCGGGCUUGAGUAUUGGAGAGGUGAGUGGAAUUUCCGGUGUAGCGGUGAAAUGCGUAGAUAUCGGAAGGAACACCUGUGGCGAAAGCGGCUCACUGGACAAUUACUGACGCUGAUGCACGAAAGCUAGGGGAGCAAACAGGAUUAGAUACCCCAGUAGUCCCUGUCUCUUAUAC